AUUGAACGCUGGCGGCAUGCUUUACACAUGCAAGUCGAACGGUAACAGCACUUCGGUGGCUGACGAGUGGCGAACGGGUGAGUAAUACAUCGGAACGUGCCUAGUAGUGGGGGAUAACUACUCGAAAGAGUAGCUAAUACCGCAUGAGAUCUAAGGAUGAAAGCAGGGGACCUUCGGGCCUUGCGCUGCUAGAGCGGCUGAUGGCAGAUUAGGUAGUUGGUGGGAUAAAAGCUUACCAAGCCGACGAUCUGUAGCUGGUCUGAGAGGACGACCAGCCACACUGGGACUGAGACACGGCCCAGACUCCUACGGGAGGCAGCAGUGGGGAAUUUUGGACAAUGGGCGCAAGCCUGAUCCAGCAAUGCCGCGUGCAGGAUGAAGGCCUUCGGGUUGUAAACUGCUUUUGUACGGAACGAAAAGCCCUCUUCUAAUACAGGAGGGUCAUGACGGUACCGUAAGAAUAAGCACCGGCUAACUACGUG
RNAcentral lists this ribosomal RNA (482 nucleotides) under uncultured bacterium. Its description in RNAcentral is "partial 16S ribosomal RNA". It matches the Rfam family "Bacterial small subunit ribosomal RNA", at positions 30 to 507 of the family's 1533-position model. The record is from RNAcentral.